ACAGUGGACGCGAGCAUCUGUGGCCAAGUUUUUAAGGGCGCACGGUGGAUGCCUUGGCACCAGGAACCGAUGAAGGACGUGGGAGGCCACGAUAGGCCCCGGGGAGUCGUCAACCAGGCUUUGAUCCGGGGGUGUCCGAAUGGGGAAACCCGGCAGUCGUCAUGGGCUGUCACCCGCUGCUGAACACAUAGGCAGUGUGGAGGGAACGCGGGGAAGUGAAACAUCUCAGUACCCGCAGGAAGAGAAAACAACCGUGAUUCCGGGAGUAGUGGCGAGCGAAACUGGAUGAGGCCAAACCGUAUACGUGUGAGACCCGGCAGGGGUUGCGUGUGCGGGGUUGUGGGAUCUCUCUUCCACGGUCUGCCGGCCGUGGGGCGAGUCAGAAACCGUUGAUGUAGGCGAAGGACAUGCGAAAGGUCCGGCGUAGAGGGUAAGACCCCCGUAGUCGAAACGUCAGCGGCUUGCUUGAGAGACACCCAAGUAGCACGGGGCCCGAGAAAUCCCGUGUGAAUCUGGCGGGACCACCCGCUAAGCCUAAAUAUUCCCUGGUGACCGAUAGCGGAUAGUACCGUGAGGGAAUGGUGAAAAGUACCGCGGGAGCGGAGUGAAAUAGUACCUGAAACCGUGUGCCUACAAGCCGUGGGAGCGUCGGACAUCAGCUUGCUGGUGUCUCGUGACUGCGUGCCUUUUGAAGAAUGAGCCUGCGAGUUUGCGGUGUGUUGCGAGGUUAACCCGGGUGGGGUAGCCGUAGCGAAAGCGAGUCCGAACAGGGCGAUUUUAGUAGCACGCUCAAGACCCGAAGCGGAGUGAUCUAGCCAUGGGCAGGUUGAAGCGGAGGUAAGACUUCGUGGAGGACCGAACCCACCAGGGUUGAAAACCUGGGGAUGACCUGUGGUUAGGGGUGAAAGGCCAAUCAAACUCCGUGAUAGCUGGUUCUCCCGAAAUGCAUUUAGGUGCAGCGUCGUGUGUUUCUUGCCGGAGGUAGAGCACUGGAUAGGCGAUGGGCCCUACCGGGUUACUGACCUUAGCCAAACUCCGAAUGCCGGUAAGUGAGAGCGCGGCAGUGAGACUGUGGGGGAUAAGCUCCAUGGUCGAGAGGGAAACAGCCCAGAGCAUCGACUAAGGCCCCUAAGCGUACGCUAAGUGGGAAAGGAUGUGGAGUCGCACAGACAACCAGGAGGUUGGCUUAGAAGCAGCCACCCUUGAAAGAGUGCGUAAUAGCUCACUGGUCUAGUGAUUCCGCGCCGACAAUGUAGCGGGGCUCAAGCGUACCGCCGAAGUCGUGUCAUUCAUACAACAGGGCCAACGCCUGUAUGGAUGGGUAGGGGAGCGUCGUGUGCCGGGUGAAGCAGCCGCGGAAGCGAGUUGUGGACGGUUCACGAGUGAGAAUGCAGGCAUGAGUAGCGAUACAAACGUGAGAAACGUUUGCGCCGAUUGACUAAGGGUUCCUGGGUCAAGCUGAUCUGCCCAGGGUAAGUCGGGACCUAAGGCGAGGCCGACAGGCGUAGUCGAUGGAUAACCGGUUGAUAUUCCGGUACCCGCUGUGAAGCGUCAAACAUCGAAUCCAGUGAUGCUAAGGCCGUGAAGCCGCCCCUGAUCUCUUCGGAGUGAGGGGAGUGGUGGAGCCGCUGAACCAAGUUGGUAGUAGGUGAGUGAUGGGGUGACGCAGGAAGGUAGUCCAUCCCGGGCGGUGGUUGUCCCGGGGUAAGGGUGUAGGCCGUGCGGUAGGUAAAUCCGUCGCACACAAGGCUGAGACCUGAUGCCGAGCCGAUUGUGGUGAAGUGGAUGAUCCUAUGCUGUCGAGAAAAGCCUCUAGCGAGUUUCAUGGCGGCCCGUACCCUAAACCGACUCAGGUGGUCAGGUAGAGAAUACCGAGGCGUUCGGGUGAACUAUGGUUAAGGAACUCGGCAAAAUGCCCCCGUAACUUCGGGAGAAGGGGGGCCAUUCUUGGUGAUCGGAUUUACUCCGUGAGCUGGGGGUGGCCGCAGAGACCAGCGAGAAGCGACUGUUUACUAAAAACACAGGUCCGUGCGAAGCCGUAAGGCGAUGUAUACGGACUGACGCCUGCCCGGUGCUGGAACGUUAAGGGGACCGGUUAGCUCCAUUUCGGUGGGGCGAAGCUGAGAACUUAAGCGCCAGUAAACGGCGGUGGUAACUAUAACCAUCCUAAGGUAGCGAAAUUCCUUGUCGGGUAAGUUCCGACCUGCACGAAUGGCGUAACGACUUCUCGACUGUCUCAACCAUAGGCCCGGUGAAAUUGCACUACGAGUAAAGAUGCUCGUUUCGCGCAGCAGGACGGAAAGACCCCGGGACCUUUACUACAGUUUGAUAUUGGUGUUCGGUUCGGCUUGUGUAGGAUAGCUGGGAGACUUUGAAGCUCGCACGCCAGUGUGGGUGGAGUCGUCGUUGAAAUACCAGUCUGGUCGUGCUGGAUGUCUAACCUGGGUCCGUGAUCCGGAUCAGGGACAGUGUCUGAUGGGUAGUUUAACUGGGGCGGUUGCCUCCUAAAGGGUAACGGAGGCGCCCAAAGGUUCCCUCAGCCUGGUUGGCAAUCAGGUGUUGAGUGUAAGUGCACAAGGGAGCUUGACUGUGAGACCGACGGGUCGAGCAGGGACGAAAGUCGGGACUAGUGAUCCGGCGGUGGCUUGUGGAAGCGCCGUCGCUCAACGGAUAAAAGGUACCCCGGGGAUAACAGGCUGAUCUUCCCCAAGAGUCCAUAUCGACGGGAUGGUUUGGCACCUCGAUGUCGGCUCGUCGCAUCCUGGGGCUGGAGUCGGUCCCAAGGGUUGGGCUGUUCGCCCAUUAAAGCGGUACGCGAGCUGGGUUUAGAACGUCGUGAGACAGUUCGGUCCCUAUCCGCUGUGCGCGUAGGAGUCUUGAGAAGGGCUGUCCCUAGUACGAGAGGACCGGGACGGACGAACCUCUGGUGUGCCAGUUGUUCUGCCAAGGGCAUGGCUGGUUGGCUACGUUCGGGAGGGAUAACCGCUGAAAGCAUCUAAGCGGGAAGCCUGCUUCGAGAUGAGGACUCCCACCUCCUAGAGAGGGUAAGGCUCCCAGUAGACGACUGGGUUGAUAGGCCAGAUAUGGAAGCCGGGUAACCGGUGGAGUUGACUGGUACUAAUAGGCCGAGGGCUUGUCCUCAGUUG
This 3146-nucleotide ribosomal RNA is filed under the name Streptomyces sp. SHP22-7. RNAcentral describes it as "bacterial LSU rRNA". It matches the Rfam family "Bacterial large subunit ribosomal RNA". The record is from RNAcentral. Lineage: Bacteria; Bacillati; Actinomycetota; Actinomycetes; Kitasatosporales; Streptomycetaceae.